This 215-nucleotide unclassified non-coding RNA is filed under the name Hevea brasiliensis (rubber tree). The record is from RNAcentral. Lineage: Eukaryota; Viridiplantae; Streptophyta; Magnoliopsida; Malpighiales; Euphorbiaceae.
CUCAAAAUAGAAGACCAUAUUUCCAGUAUAUCGAUGUCCCAUGCAAAGGCCUCGUUACAUUUAUCUCAUUGCUGGCUCGGAAUAUGGAGCUGCUAGCUCACCAAGCCUUCAAACAUUCAGCCUUGAAAACCGCUCAAAUUUUCCAAAGCUUCAGUGGAGCAAAUUAAGCUUCCAUGGGCUCUGGCGUCUCUGUGACGGUUUCUGGUGUAAUCUUG